GAACCCACCAGGGUUGAAAACCUGGGGGAUGAACUGUGGGUAGGGGUGAAAGGCCAAUCAAACUCCGUGAUAGCUGGUUCUCCCCGAAAUGCAUUUAGGUGCAGCGUCGCGUGGUCCCUGGUGGAGGUAGAGCUACUGGAUGGCCGAUGGGCCCUAUGGGUUACUGACGUCAGCCAAACUCCGAAUGCCAUUAGGUGUAGCGCGGCAGUGAGACUGCGGGGGAUAAGCUUCGUAGUCGAGAGGGAAACAGCCCAGAUCAUCAGCUAAGGCCCCUAAGCGUACGCUAAGUGGGAAAGGAUGUGGAGUCGCGGUGACAACCAGGAGGUUGGCUUAGAAGCAGCCAUCCUUGAAAGAGUGCGUAAUAGCUCACUGGUCAAGUGGUUCUGCGCCGACAAUGUAGCGGGGCUCAAGCGUACCGCCGAAGCUGUGGCAACAACACGUGAUACUGGCGCCAGGAACUGGAGUGCUGGUGUGUUGUUGGGUAGGGGAGCGUCCUGCACGAGGUGAAGCCUGGAGGGAACUUCUGGUGGAUUGUGUGGGAGUGAGAAUGCAGGCAUGAGUAACGAAUCUGCGGUGAGAAUCCGCAGCGCCGAUUGACUAAGGGUUCCAGGGCUAGGUUUAUCCGCCCUGGGUUAGUCGGGUCCUAAGGCGAGGCCGACAGGCGUAGUCGAUGGACAACCAGUUGAUAUUCUGGUACCGCGUUGUGACCGCCCAUGCUGAAGUCAUUGUGCUAACCAAUUUGCUCACGCCACUUGUAAGCCUUCGGGUUUGUGGGUGUGUGUGGGUCUUGGGGCCCCGGUGAUUGUAGGCAAGCGUGUUAACAGGGGUGACGCAGACAGGUAGCUGCAGUGCGCCGAUGGUUGUGCGUAUUUAAGGUUGUGGCCCGCCUCCCAGGCAAAUCCGGGGGGCAUGUGGGUGAGAACUGAUGAGGGACACACGCGUGUGUGGACUUGUGGUGAUCCUAAGCUGCCGAGAAAAGCCUCGACGUGAGGGCAUAACGCGCCCGUACCCUAAACCGACUCAGGUGGUCAGGUAGAGUAUACCGAGGCGUUCGAGUGAAUCGUGGUUAAGGAACUCGGCAAAAUUCCUCCGUAACUUCGGGAUAAGGAGGACCCCGUGACUUCCCAGUGUCUUGCAUGCUGGUGGGGUUGUGGGGUCGCAGAGAAUAGGGAGAAGCGACUGUUUAUCAAAAACACAGGUGCGUGCGAAGCCGUAAGGCGAUGUAUACGCACUGACGCCUGCCCGGUGCUGGAAGGUUAAGAGGAACCGUCAACACUCCUUGUGGGUGUGAAGCGGUGAAUUUAAGCCCCAGUAAACGGCGGUGGUAACUAUAACCAUCCUAAGGUAGCGAAAUUCCUUGUCGGGUAAGUUCCGACCUGCACGAAUGGCGUAACGACUUCCCCACUGUCU
Molecule: ribosomal RNA, 1410 nt
Filed under: Parahaemophilus parainfluenzae
Lineage: Bacteria; Pseudomonadati; Pseudomonadota; Gammaproteobacteria; Pasteurellales; Pasteurellaceae
Description: Haemophilus parainfluenzae (human gut metagenome) partial 23S ribosomal RNA
Rfam family: Bacterial large subunit ribosomal RNA
Source: RNAcentral